RNAcentral lists this transfer RNA (71 nucleotides) under Marmota monax (woodchuck). RNAcentral's name for it is "tRNA.Thr". It matches the Rfam family "tRNA". From Rfam's summary of the family: Transfer RNA (tRNA) molecules are approximately 80 nucleotides in length. Their secondary structure includes four short double-helical elements and three loops (D, anti-codon, and T loops). Lineage: Eukaryota; Metazoa; Chordata; Mammalia; Rodentia; Sciuridae. The record is from RNAcentral.
GGGGUUGUGGCUCAGCGGUAGAGCACCCGCCUAGUGAGUGUGAGAUGCUGGGUUUGAUCCUCAGCACCACA